AUCCUUUUCUUGUUCAAAAGCAUGAUGACUGGAUGUUCACCAGUUUGUGUGCCAUGUGCCUCCCUUAAAUCUUGUCACACACUUGGAACAUUGCCCAUAUUAUG
This is a small nucleolar RNA of Sorex fumeus (smoky shrew), 104 nucleotides long. RefSeq annotates it as small nucleolar RNA U13. The record is from RefSeq and is a predicted model, not a curated record. Lineage: Eukaryota; Metazoa; Chordata; Mammalia; Eulipotyphla; Soricidae. The transcript has a single exon.